CUACGGGAGGCAGCAGUGAGGAAUAUUGAACAAUGGGGGCAACCCUGAUCCAGCCAUGCCGCGUGAGUGAUGACGGCCUUAGGGUUGUAAAGCUCUUUCAGUAGUGAAGAUAAUGACGGUAACUACAGAAGAAGCCCCGGCUAACUUCGUGCCAGCAGCCGCGGUAAUACGAAGGGGGCUAGCGUUGUUCGGAAUCACUGGGCGUAAAGCGCGCGUAGGCGGACUUUUAAGUCAGGGGUGAAAUCCCGGGGCUCAACCUCGGAACUGCCUUUGAUACUGGAAGUCUUGAGUUCGAGAGAGGUAAGUGGAAUACCGAGUGUAGAGGUGAAAUUCGUAGAUAUUCGGUGGAACACCAGUGGCGAAGGCGGCUUACUGGCUCGAUACUGACGCUGAGGUGCGAAAGCGUGGGGAGCAAACAGGAUUAGAUACCCCAGUAGUC
RNAcentral lists this ribosomal RNA (439 nucleotides) under uncultured bacterium. RNAcentral describes it as "partial 16S ribosomal RNA". It matches the Rfam family "Bacterial small subunit ribosomal RNA", at positions 339 to 795 of the family's 1533-position model. The record is from RNAcentral.